CCUACGGGAGGCAGCAGUGGGGAAUAUUGCACAAUGGGGGAAACCCUGAUGCAGCGACGCCGCGUGAGUGAAGAAGUAUUUCGGUAUGUAAAGCUCUAUCAGCAGGGAAGAAAUAAAGUCCUUCGGACUUUGGACGGUACCUGACUAAGAAGCCCCGGCUAACUACGUGCCAGCAGACGCGGUACUACGUAGGGUGCAAGCGUUAUCCGGAUGUACUGGGUGUAAAGGGAGCGUAGACGGCAGCGCAAGUCUGGAGUGAAAUCCCAUUGCGUAACCAUGGAACUGCUUUGGAAACUGUGCAGCUGGAGUGCAGGAGAGGUAAGCGGAAUUCCUAGUGUAGCGGUGAAAUGCGUAGAUAUUAGGAGGAACACCAGUGGCGAAGGCGGCUUACUGGACUGUAACUGACGUUGAGGCUCGAAAGCGUGGGGAGCAAACAGGAUUAGAUACCCGGGUAGUC
This 457-nucleotide ribosomal RNA is filed under the name uncultured bacterium. Its description in RNAcentral is "partial 16S ribosomal RNA". It matches the Rfam family "Bacterial small subunit ribosomal RNA", at positions 338 to 795 of the family's 1533-position model. The record is from RNAcentral.